RNAcentral lists this ribosomal RNA (425 nucleotides) under uncultured bacterium. Its description in RNAcentral is "partial 16S ribosomal RNA". It matches the Rfam family "Bacterial small subunit ribosomal RNA", at positions 354 to 796 of the family's 1533-position model. The record is from RNAcentral.
GUGGGGAAUCUUGCGCAAUGGGCGAAAGCCUGACGCAGCCAUGCCGCGUGAAUGAUGAAGGUCUUAGGAUUGUAAAAUUCUUUCACCGGGGACGAUAAUGACGGUACCCGGAGAAGAAGCUCCGGCUAACUUCGUGCCAGCAGCCGCGGUAAUACGAAGGGGGCUAGCGUUGCUCGGAAUUACUGGGCGUAAAGGGCGCGUAGGCGGACAGUUUAGUCAGAGGUGAAAGCCCAGGGCUCAACCUUGGAAUUGCCUUUGAUACUGGCUGUCUUGAGUACGGGAGAGGUGAGUGGAACUCCGAGUGUAGAGGCGAAAUUCGUAGAUAUUCGGAAGAACACCAGUGGCGAAGGCGACUCACUGGCCCGUUACUGACGCUGAGGCGCGAAAGCGUGGGGAGCAAACAGGAUUAGAAACCCCGGUAGUCC